This 5980-nucleotide long non-coding RNA is filed under the name Daucus carota (carrot). RNAcentral describes it as "long non-coding RNA (DCAR_LNC007259)". Lineage: Eukaryota; Viridiplantae; Streptophyta; Magnoliopsida; Apiales; Apiaceae. The record is from RNAcentral.
AAGGGUUGAAAAUGAUAACCCUUAUGCUAGCAACACAAUGGGGGAAACUGUGUGGCGCCGUUCGAAGUCGCGAUCAGACUGCGAAGGCGUUACGGGGUGGUAUCUACUUAGUGGCGGUGAUCGAGCCAUGGAGUGGAACCAUCAAGGAUGGAGACCAGUGCUAUUCUUAUUCUUUGAUUUAUCGAGAUCUUUAUGUGAUUAUCAGCAGCUUUCAUCUUGAACCUGCUUAAUUGUUAUAUCUGUUUAAACUCCUCGAUAUACAUAUAUCCGUGAUGUUGCACUUGAAAUGAGAACUUGCUGAGCAAAUCAUUUGGUCAUACUUGCAAUAUUUAUUUCUUUUAACAGUAAAGACAGAGUAUGGCUCGAAUAAGGAGGACAAUCAGGAAGCGUACCACAGCAAGGGAAAGAGCAAGGCGUGAAGUCAAUGCAAGAAGAAGGGUACGAAGACGGACUCUUACAUCAAGGGUGUAUUACUUUAUAAUAAUAUUAGUAGUUGGUACCUUUGGACUUAUUAUUGUAAUCUUAAUCUAAGACCAUGUGUAAGUGCGUAUCGAUCCCUGGACUUGUGGGAAGUGUGAGUUGUAAUAUAAGAUGUUUAUGUUAUGCUAUGUUUAUGUGGCGACCCAAAUUCAGGGGAUACGGGUUUGGGGGCGUUACAGAUUUGGUAUCAGAGCGGUGUUAUAUCCUUAGGACACGAGAACCUAGGCAUAUAACUGGUGAGGGUAAGAUUCACCAAUGAGAGUUGUAAAGAUAUAUAUACAUUUAUAUAUAUCGAUUUGUGCGUAUGCGGGAGGACAUACGAACCAAGUAGACCCUGAGAGUCACUAGACUCUAUUAGUUAUAUGAUUAAAUAUAUGCAUCUUAAGUAACCCUUAGUGUUAUGUGUAUAGAUGGCAGGAUCCGGUGACGUUCGAGGCCGAUCUCUCAUGGGGUACUCUGACUCUAGCUAUGAUAGCGACCCUUCGAUGGAGAUUAUCUUUGUGGACAGUGGUUCGGAGGACUCAUCGAUUCAGAUUCUGGAGCCUCCAUCUCCUGUGGUUAUUGAUCUUGUGGACUCUUCUGACUCAGAGAUACCCGACUUAGGAGAGCAGAUUCAGAGUGAGGGACUAGAGUCACCUUUCCGCUCACUACCUACUAUUACUACUGUACCAGCGAUCACUACUGAUGUUGUCACCACUCCUCCUACUUAUGUGACUGCACCUGUUCAGAGGAGCGAUGGUGAUCCUGACAUUCUAGAGUUACUCAGUUACUUUCAGACUCCUACCUCAGAGGUUUCUACUUAUACCCCUGAGUUUGCUGCGAUGCCCACCGCUGAUAGGUAUCGGUUUGAGUUUUCAGUUUCUGCUCCAGUUGCGGAGUUCUCUACUCCAUCCUUUGUUACUCCAGCACCGGUUUACUCGGUUCCUGAGCCGAGAGUUCAGAUAGAGCAGCCCGUUGUUACUACUUCGGAGAUUCCGGUUCAUGCACCGGGUAUUCCUAUGAUAUCAGCACCAGUUUCACAGACUCCUACGGGCUCUCUUGGGGCGUCUGCUCCUAUGUCACUCGCAGAUUGGGCGGAUUGGGCUAUGAUGAGCUCUACUAUGCACUCGGAGUAUAUGGCUUUAGCACAUCAGUACCAGAGUGUUCUUGAUCAGUAUGUGGAUUCUGUCUACCCCAGCUGGGAUAGUUUUAUGACUUUUGAGAGAGAGAGAGAGAGGGAGAGGGAGAGAUGAUGUGAAUGAGGCAGAGAGGGGCGGCGUCGAGGCCACCGGAGCCGAGCUCCGGCCGGCAGCCGAGGGAAAUGGCUGGAGAAGGGAGAGAGAAGGUGGGUGGGGAGAAAAUGGAUAGUUGGGGAAGAUGGGGGUAUAUUGGUAAAUCACUAAUUAGAUGAUAGGUAAUAAAAUAAUAAAUAAAAUUGAGAUUUUAAAUUUGGGUGGUUGAUUAAUUAAAAUAAAAGGGGAGACAAUACAAUUGGAUGGGUAAGACUUAAUUAGAAAUAAUUUAAGAGAGUGGGAUAUUGAGAUAUAUUAUUAUUCUUAAUUUAGUAAUUUCGGAUUGAAUAACGAAACCAAAGGCUUGGGUGUAAGGAUAAGCUAUUAAUUAAUUUAGUGGAUAUUAUUUAAUUUGGAGAAACAUUGAGAUAAAAUUAAGUAUAGGUCACAUAAGUUGGUGAAUUUGUGGACUAUUAAGGUUGUAGAUAAAUAAAGUUGAUAAUUAAGGAUAAUCGGAUUUAAAAUCGUAGUAAUGGAUUUAGUGGGUUUGGGAGAUUAAAUUUAGAAAUACCAAUACAUUAGUUCUAUGUGACACUUAAUAAACCGUAAGAGGUAUUACUAUUAAUUUAGUAAUCAUGGAAUUAUUAUUUGUCGUUAAUUAAAUUAGAGAGUCUCUUGGAUUAUAAGAUAAGUAAUUAAGGAAAUGAGUUAUAGAUUAUUGGGAUGGUAUAUUUUGUUAUCCUUCAUGAAUUUAGGAAUUUAUUAUUAAAAUAUAGUUAUAAAGGUGCAAAAGAUGCAGAAUAAUAAUUCAUAAAUAAUUAGGGGUAAUUAUUUAAAGGAAUUAUAAAUGAUUACAUUCUUAGUAUUAAACUUAAAGGAUAUGAUUAAUUGAGACUAAUCUUAGUCAAGGGGAAAUGUAAAUACUCAUCCUUUGAGAUUAAUUCAUUCGAUAGGUGUACUAAAUUCACUACUUUAUGUGAUUUAGAAUAUUUUACUUCCCGGAAAGGCGGAUCUUAUUUGAGACGGAAUAUUAUAGCAAAGGACGACAGGCAAGUUUAUCUAUUCCCUACCUUUGUUAUGCCAAUAUGCCUUAUUUAUUUGUUGGAUAUAUUACAUGAUAUUUGAAAUGCUGCUUGUAAUUCCGAUAAUUUUAUACUCAAGUAUUACUGAAGAUCGAGCAGAAGCAGCUACUUGAAGAUCAGACGUUCACUUCGCGUGUUUAUUAUCUAAUUUUGUUUCAUGAUAUGAGUUUAUCCAUUGUUCGGGUUACUCACCAUCCAAAGAGAUUAUCAAAUUUUCCGACUUUCGAACCCUUAUAUUGUGUAAGCUUGUAGAAAUUAUAUUAUUAUUCCGGCACCUUCAUUGCUACAAGCCCAAUUCGGUUUGCAAAUCUUCACUUUGCUUCCGUCUCAAAAGCCUGAAUCAUUUCUUAGAAUCGUUAUCUUGAAUCAAUUAGUUAUUUCAACUUAUGAUUAUUCACGUCAUUCAAAUAUCUAGACCCUUAACUAGAAUUCAUUCAUUCUAACAAAGAUAUAAUAUUCUUGUAAAAUUUUCGGUUAACAACUAUUCUAUUCUUAUUCCCGAAGCGGUACCAUUGACUUCAAUUCUUGUUGCAUUCUCUAUCUUAUUUAAAUCCUAGAGUCCUAAUCUUAAAGAGAUAUAUGAUCUGUAAAGGGUUUGAUAACCAAGACGGAUCGACCCUCUCGUUCAUUGCAAAUUUGGAUUACAUAGUUUUCGUAAUCUAUAAGACUUUGAUUUUAAAUUAGAAAAGGUGCAUUGUUCGCUCCAGAAAGUGACUUGGAGUUUUGUUGGUAAAAGAGGCAUUUCUUGUACUCAGGGGGAAGAAUCUUACAAACUGGUCAACACGAAUAAUUCUAAUUCGUGGAAGAGAAGCGUUAUUACUGUCUCUGUGUGAGACAACUUAAAGGGUUGAAAAUGAUAACCCUUAUGCUAGCAACACAAUGGGGGAAACUGUGUGGCGCCGUUCGAAGUCGCGAUCAGACUGCGAAGGCGUUACGGGGUGGUAUCUACUUAGUGGCGGUGAUCGAGCCAUGGAGUGGAACCAUCAAGGAUGGAGACCAGUGCUAUUCUUAUUCUUUGAUUUAUCGAGAUCUUUAUGUGAUUAUCAGCAGCUUUCAUCUUGAACCUGCUUAAUUGUUAUAUCUGUUUAAACUCCUCGAUAUACAUAUAUCCGUGAUGUUGCACUUGAAAUGAGAACUUGCUGAGCAAAUCAUUUGGUCAUACUUGCAAUAUUUAUUUCUUUUAACAGUAAAGACAGAGUAUGGCUCGAAUAAGGAGGACAAUCAGGAAGCGUACCACAGCAAGGGAAAGAGCAAGGCGUGAAGUCAAUGCAAGAAGAAGGGUACGAAGACGGACUCUUACAUCAAGGGUGUAUUACUUUAUAAUAAUAUUAGUAGUUGGUACCUUUGGACUUAUUAUUGUAAUCUUAAUCUAAGACCAUGUGUAAGUGCGUAUCGAUCCCUGGACUUGUGGGAAGUGUGAGUUGUAAUAUAAGAUGUUUAUGUUAUGCUAUGUUUAUGUGGCGACCCAAAUUCAGGGGAUACGGGUUUGGGGGCGUUACAGAUUUGGUAUCAGAGCGGUGUUAUAUCCUUAGGACACGAGAACCUAGGCAUAUAACUGGUGAGGGUAAGAUUCACCAAUGAGAGUUGUAAAGAUAUAUAUACAUUUAUAUAUAUCGAUUUGUGCGUAUGCGGGAGGACAUACGAACCAAGUAGACCCUGAGAGUCACUAGACUCUAUUAGUUAUAUGAUUAAAUAUAUGCAUCUUAAGUAACCCUUAGUGUUAUGUGUAUAGAUGGCAGGAUCCGGUGACGUUCGAGGCCGAUCUCUCAUGGGGUACUCUGACUCUAGCUAUGAUAGCGACCCUUCGAUGGAGAUUAUCUUUGUGGACAGUGGUUCGGAGGACUCAUCGAUUCAGAUUCUGGAGCCUCCAUCUCCUGUGGUUAUUGAUCUUGUGGACUCUUCUGACUCAGAGAUACCCGACUUAGGAGAGCAGAUUCAGAGUGAGGGACUAGAGUCACCUUUCCGCUCACUACCUACUAUUACUACUGUACCAGCGAUCACUACUGAUGUUGUCACCACUCCUCCUACUUAUGUGACUGCACCUGUUCAGAGGAGCGAUGGUGAUCCUGACAUUCUAGAGUUACUCAGUUACUUUCAGACUCCUACCUCAGAGGUUUCUACUUAUACCCCUGAGUUUGCUGCGAUGCCCACCGCUGAUAGGUAUCGGUUUGAGUUUUCAGUUUCUGCUCCAGUUGCGGAGUUCUCUACUCCAUCCUUUGUUACUCCAGCACCGGUUUACUCGGUUCCUGAGCCGAGAGUUCAGAUAGAGCAGCCCGUUGUUACUACUUCGGAGAUUCCGGUUCAUGCACCGGGUAUUCCUAUGAUAUCAGCACCAGUUUCACAGACUCCUACGGGCUCUCUUGGGGCGUCUGCUCCUAUGUCACUCGCAGAUUGGGCGGAUUGGGCUAUGAUGAGCUCUACUAUGCACUCGGAGUAUAUGGCUUUAGCACAUCAGUACCAGAGUGUUCUUGAUCAGUAUGUGGAUUCUGUCUACCCCAGCUGGGAUAGUUUUAUGACUUUUGGACCUCCUGCUCCUUUCACUGCUCCAGCUGGAUAUGGGUUCUUGCCGAGAGAUACUGGGGCAGAUAUAGUUCAUCAGGUUGCCGUUUCUGUGUUCGAGGGACUUCAGUUUGACCUCCAGCACCUUCCUUCCACCAGCACAGGACUUGUUGAUGCUACCCAUGUUGCCAUCCUGGUUGACCUAGCUCGGUCAGAGUUUCUACGCCGGGUGUCCGAGAUCUUCGGACGCUGAUCCAUCGAUAUAGUCUCACCUUUUUGCGGGAUCACAUUACUAGCACCAGUGGAUUCCGAGUAUUACUUUUGCUUAUCAUAUGACUGCUGACAUUGUAGUGUUUCGGGAUUAGAGAGUCGUGCAUAUCCUUUUGUUUUGAUGCAGACUUGAUAGUUUCGAUAGUUGAUCUUUCUGGCAGUAGUUAUGUAGUUAGGUCAUGAUGUAGAUGCAGAUAUGCCAGCUAUGAUGAUGUAUUUAUUAGUGAUGACUAGACUUGAUGAUGUACUUGUUAGUGAUGAUCAGACUAGAUACUACGGGUUAUGGUCUCUUUUGUACUCGAAACUUGGUAUCUAUAUGAUGAUUUCUAGUACUAUUGAUGAUGGAUGGUUUACUUUUUCUGCACUAUUAUCAUGAUUACUGCUCGUACUUGCUUUACCAUCAUCUAUAUCUUAUGAUCUCUUGUACUUUAUCUAUCG